This 1343-nucleotide ribosomal RNA is filed under the name uncultured bacterium. RNAcentral describes it as "16S ribosomal RNA". It matches the Rfam family "Bacterial small subunit ribosomal RNA", at positions 28 to 1378 of the family's 1533-position model. The record is from RNAcentral.
GACGAACGCUGGCGGCGUGCUUAACACAUGCAAGUCGAACGGAAAGGCCCUGCUUUUGUGGGGCGCUCGAGUGGCGAACGGGUGAGUAACACGUGAGUAACCUGCCCUUGACUUUGGGAUAACUUCAGGAAACUGGGGCUAAUACCGGAUAGGAGCUCCUGCUGCAUGGUGGGGGUUAGAAAGUUUCGGCGGUUGGGGAUGGACUCGCGGCUUAUCAGCUUGUUGGUGGGGUAGUGGCUUACCAAGGCUUUGACGGGUAGCCGGCCUGAGAGGGUGACCGGCCACAUUGGGACUGAGAUACGGCCCAGACUCCUACGGGAGGCAGCAGUGGGGAAUAUUGCACAAUGGGCGGAAGCCUGAUGCAGCAACGCCGCGUGCGGGAUGACGGCCUUCGGGUUGUAAACCGCUUUCGCCUGUGACGAAGCGUGAGUGACGGUAAUGGGUAAAGAAGCACCGGCUAACUACGUGCCAGCAGCCGCGGUGAUACGUAGGGUGCGAGCGUUGUCCGGAUUUAUUGGGCGUAAAGGGCUCGUAGGUGGUUGAUCGCGUCGGAAGUGUAAUCUUGGGGCUUAACCCUGAGCGUGCUUUCGAUACGGGUUGACUUGAGGAAGGUAGGGGAGAAAGGAAUUCCUGGUGGAGCGGUGGAAUGCGCAGAUAUCAGGAGGAACACCAGUGGCGAAGGCGGUUCUCUGGGCCUUUCCUGACGCUGAGGAGCGAAAGCGUGGGGAGCGAACAGGCUUAGAUACCCUGGUAGUCCACGCUGUAAACGGUGGGUACUAGGUGUGGGGUCCAUUCCACGGGUUCCGUGCCGUAGCUAACGCUUUAAGUACCCCGCCUGGGGAGUACGGCCGCAAGGCUAAAACUCAAAGGAAUUGACGGGGCCCCGCACAAGCGGCGGAGCAUGCGGAUUAAUUCGAUGCAACGCGUAGAACCUUACCUGGGUUUGACAUGGAUCGGGAGUGCUCAGAGAUGGGUGUGCCUCUUUUGGGGUCGGUUCACAGGUGGUGCAUGCCUGUCGUCAGCUCGUGUCGUGAGAUGUUGGGUUAAGUCCCGCAACGAGCGCAACCCUUGUUCACUGUUGCCAGCACGUUAUGGUGGGGACUCAGUGGAGACCGCCGGGGUCAACUCGGAGGAAGGUGGGGAUGACGUCAAGUCCUCAUGCCCCUUAUGUCCAGGGCUUCACGCAUGCUACAAUGGCUGGUACAGAGAGUGGCGAGCCUGUGAGGGUGAGCGAAUCUCGGAAAGCCGGUCUCAGUUCGGAUUGGGGUCUGCAACUCGACCUCAUGAAGUCGGAGUCGCUAGUAAUCGCAGAUCAGCAACGCUGCGGUGAAUACGUUCCCGGG